CCCCUGCAGUGUUCGAUACUGCGCUGAAUUCCCCUGGCCCAUAAUUCUACAGUCGGGGACAUGACGUUGGUGCCGUGUGCAUGUCCGCGUGACGGAAAGCCUGACGCGCCAAUCGUUGUCCCCACUUAUCGCUCUGGUUCCAGGGGCGAUGGUGCAAACGGCACAGGUGGGGG
This 173-nucleotide non-coding RNA is filed under the name marine eukaryotic metagenome. RNAcentral describes it as "6S / SsrS RNA". It matches the Rfam family "6S / SsrS RNA". Rfam says of the family: E. coli 6S RNA was the first non coding RNA to be sequenced, but its function was unknown until recently. It consists of 184 nucleotides that fold into an extended hairpin structure with a large single-stranded internal bulge. The 6S RNA specifically associates with RNA polymerase holoenzyme containing the sigma70 specificity factor. The record is from RNAcentral.